UACAGAGUAGAAAAUAAAGCGUUAAGUGCCGACGGGAUGGGAUGUUGCCUGUUGGACGAAGAAUUUAUUUCGCGAUUUUAUUUUCGCAUUCGCUGCA
This 97-nucleotide non-coding RNA is filed under the name Vagococcus lutrae. RNAcentral's name for it is "THF-I sequence". It matches the Rfam family "THF (Tetrahydrofolate) riboswitch aptamer". Rfam says of the family: THF riboswitch presents a pseudoknot that joins P1-P2 and the loop of P3 and two THF binding. Lineage: Bacteria; Bacillati; Bacillota; Bacilli; Lactobacillales; Enterococcaceae. The record is from RNAcentral. RNAcentral also lists the same sequence under 1 other name.